CUCUUUUCACAAAUGUUAUAAAAUUAAGCAAAGAUAAGAAAUUCCUGGAUAUUGGACUUGUUGGGCCAUUUCAGCACUCUUCAGUUAAGUCUUUUUCUUUCUCCAGAAUGAAUGCACUGGAAGCUAUAGCAUCACAUCUAAUGCUGAAGAAGAGAAGUAGAAUGUGUUUACUUCUUGCAAGUCCUCUUUCAUCAGAGGGUUGACCACUCCAGCUGCUAAUUCUUAAAUUAUCUGCUGAAUUCUUAAUCCCACAUGUUGUCAGUACAAACCAGAGUUUGUAC
RNAcentral lists this long non-coding RNA (281 nucleotides) under Bos indicus x Bos taurus (hybrid cattle). Its description in RNAcentral is "lncRNA (ENSBIXG00000004768.1)". Lineage: Eukaryota; Metazoa; Chordata; Mammalia; Artiodactyla; Bovidae. The record is from RNAcentral.